CCUAGGGGAGGCAGCAGUGGGGAAUAUUGGACAAUGGGCGAAAGCCUGAUCCAGCCAUGCCGCGUGUGUGAAGAAGGCCUUCGGGUUGUAAAGCACUUUCAGUGGGGAAGAAAGCCUUGGGGCUAAUACCCUCGAGGAAGGACAUCACCCACAGAAGAAGCACCGGCUAACUCCGUGCCAGCAGCCGCGGUAAUACGGAGGGUGCGAGCGUUAAUCGGAAUUACUGGGCGUAAAGCGCGCGUAGGCGGUCUGAUAAGCCGGUUGUGAAAGCCCCGGGCUCAACCUGGGAACGGCAUCCGGAACUGUCAGGCUAGAGUGCAGGAGAGGAAGGUAGAAUUCCCGGUGUAGCGGUGAAAUGCGUAGAGAUCGGGAGGAAUACCAGUGGCGAAGGCGGCCUUCUGGACUGACACUGACGCUGAGGUGCGAAAGCGUGGGUAGCAAACAGGAUUAGAUACCCCAGUAGUC
RNAcentral lists this ribosomal RNA (465 nucleotides) under Vreelandella stevensii. Its description in RNAcentral is "partial 16S ribosomal RNA". It matches the Rfam family "Bacterial small subunit ribosomal RNA", at positions 338 to 795 of the family's 1533-position model. Lineage: Bacteria; Pseudomonadati; Pseudomonadota; Gammaproteobacteria; Oceanospirillales; Halomonadaceae. The record is from RNAcentral.